RNAcentral lists this unclassified non-coding RNA (229 nucleotides) under plant metagenome. RNAcentral's name for it is "partial contains small subunit ribosomal RNA, internal transcribed spacer 1, and 5.8S ribosomal RNA". The record is from RNAcentral.
UCUCCGUAGGUGAACCUGCGGAGGGAUCAUUACAGAGUUCAUGCCCUACCGGGUAGAUCUCCCACCCUAUGUUGUUAUUACUUUGUUGCGUUGGCGGGCCGUUAGGCUCCGGCCCGACUACCGGCCCCGGCUGGUAAGCGCCCGCCAGAGGACCCAAAACCCUGAAUAUUAGUGUCGUCUGAGUACUAUAUAAUAGUUAAAACUUUCAACAACGGAUCUCUUGGUUCUG